CAGCAAGGUGGAAGAGUGUAAGAAAAAUGUCGAGGAAAUAUGUCAGGAGAAGAAAGACAAAGCCAACAGACAGAGCCCUAAAGCCAUUUGUGAAG
This is a long non-coding RNA of Haliotis rubra (blacklip abalone), 95 nucleotides long. RefSeq lists it as uncharacterized. NCBI's taxonomy places the organism in Eukaryota, Metazoa, Mollusca, Gastropoda, Lepetellida, Haliotidae. The record is from RefSeq and is a predicted model, not a curated record. The transcript is spliced from 3 exons.